GAUGAACGCUGGCGGCGUGCCUAAUACAUGCAAGUCGAGCGAACAGACGAGGAGUUUCCCCCUCUGACGUUAGCGGCGGACGGGUGUGUAACACGUGGAAAACCCAUCUAUAAGACUGGGAUAACUGCGGGAAACCGGAGCUAAUCCCGGAUAAUAUAUUGAACCGCAUGGUUCAAUAGAGAAAGACGGUUUUGCUGUCACUUAUAGAUGGAUCCGCGCCGCAUUAGCUAGUUGGUAAGGUAACGGCUUACCAAGGCAACGAUGCGUAGCCGACCUGAGAGGGUGAUCGGCCACACUGGAACUGAGACACGGUCCAGACUCCUACGGGAGGCAGCAGUAGGGAAUCUUCCGCAAUGGGCGAAAGCUUGCCGGAGCAACGCCGCGUGAGUGAUGAGGGUCUUCGGAUCGUAAAACUCUGUUAUUAGGAAAGAACAAAUGUGUAAGUAACUAUGCACGUCUUGACGGUACCUAAUCAGAAAGCCACGGCUAACUACGUG
Molecule: ribosomal RNA, 497 nt
Filed under: uncultured bacterium
Lineage: Bacteria
Description: partial 16S ribosomal RNA
Rfam family: Bacterial small subunit ribosomal RNA
Source: RNAcentral